Molecule: small nuclear RNA, 194 nt
Organism: Molossus molossus (Pallas's mastiff bat)
Lineage: Eukaryota; Metazoa; Chordata; Mammalia; Chiroptera; Molossidae
Product: U2 spliceosomal RNA
Exons: 1
Source: RefSeq, a predicted model, not a curated record
AUAGCUUCUCGGCCUUUUGGCUAAGAUUAAGUGUAGUAUCCAUUGUUAGCAGUUUAAUAUCUUAUAUGUCCUUUAUCCAAGGACAUAAUAUAUAUUAAGUGGAUUUCUGGAAUUGGGAGACGGACUAGGCGCUUGCUCUGUCCACUCCACGCAUCGGCCUGGUAUUGCAGAACAUCCCCUUUGGGGAAGAAAGA